AACGCUACUGGCGUGCUUAACUCAUGCAAGUCGAACGAUGAUCCCAGCUUGCUGGGGGAUUAGUGGCGAACGGGUGAGUAACACGUGAGUAACCUGCCCUUAACUCUGGGAUAAGCCUGGGAAACUGGGUCUAAUACCGGAUAUGACUCCUCAUCGCAUGGUGGGGGGUGGAAAGCUUUAUUGUGGUUUUGGAUGGACUCGCGGCCUAUCAGCUUGUUGGUGAGGUAAUGGCUCACCAAGGCGACGACGGGUAGCCGGCCUGAGAGGGUGACCGGCCACACUGGGACUGAGACACGGCCCAGACUCCUACGGGAGGCAGCAGUGGGGAAUAUUGCACAAUGGGCGAAAGCCUGAUGCAGCGACGCCGCGUGAGGGAUGACGGCCUUCGGGUUGUAAACCUCUUUCAGUAGGGAAGAAGCGAAAGUGACGGUACCUGCAGAAGAAGCGCCGGCUAACUACGUGCCAGCAGCCGCGGUAAUACGUAGGGCGCAAGCGUUAUCCGGAAUUAUUGGGCGUAAAGAGCUCGUAGGCGGUUUGUCGCGUCUGCCGUGAAAGUCCGGGGCUCAACUCCGGAUCUGCGGUGGGUACGGGCAGACUAGAGUGAUGUAGGGGAGACUGGAAUUCCUGGUGUAGCGGUGAAAUGCGCAGAUAUCAGGAGGAACACCGAUGGCGAAGGCAGGUCUCUGGGCAUUAACUGACGCUGAGGAGCGAAAGCAUGGGGGAGCGAACAGGAUUAGAUCCCC
This 743-nucleotide ribosomal RNA is filed under the name Arthrobacter sp. PF3. RNAcentral's name for it is "bacterial SSU rRNA". It matches the Rfam family "Bacterial small subunit ribosomal RNA", at positions 32 to 787 of the family's 1533-position model. The record is from RNAcentral. Lineage: Bacteria; Bacillati; Actinomycetota; Actinomycetes; Micrococcales; Micrococcaceae.